Molecule: long non-coding RNA, 391 nt
Organism: Canis lupus familiaris (dog)
Lineage: Eukaryota; Metazoa; Chordata; Mammalia; Carnivora; Canidae
Exons: 2
Source: RefSeq, a predicted model, not a curated record
ACUAAUGCACCUCUGAGUUCUAUUAUUCUGAACAUUUUUCGAGACGAUGAAGAUGCACAAGAAGAUACAAAAUCACCCUUGUGCUCAUCACGUGGAUUUAAACUGUUCCUGUCCACGCGCAUGUGGAAUUUAGGAAGCAAAACAGGCAUAUAUUUGGAAACCCUUUACGUGGCCUACUCUUCAGUUUUCAGAAAAGUGGCAAGACAAUAGGACUUUCAUGAUAAAAUCAUAGAAGAUUAUCAAGUUAAAACAGAAGGGACCUUUUAUUAGUUUGUCAUUAGCUAUGUUUAUUUUUUAAUUUUUUUAUUAGUUAUGUUUAAAAAAGUUCCAUUAUUAUACACAUUAUUUUCUGUAUGUACAUAUUAAAAAUGUGAUCAGUUUUCUGUUACCA